This 449-nucleotide ribosomal RNA is filed under the name uncultured fungus. Its description in RNAcentral is "eukaryotic LSU rRNA". The stretch from base 85 to 238 matches the Rfam family "5.8S ribosomal RNA". Lineage: Eukaryota; Fungi. The record is from RNAcentral.
CAAGGCGCCCGCCGGAGGCCACAAACUCUUCUGUUUUUACAGUUUCUUCUGAGUGUGCCGCAAGGCAGUAUACAAAUGAAUCAAAACUUUCAACAACGGAUCUCUUGGUUCUGGCAUCGAUGAAGAACGCAGCGAAAUGCGAUAAGUAAUGUGAAUUGCAGAAUUCAGUGAAUCAUCGAAUCUUUGAACGCACAUUGCGCCCGCCAGAAUUCUGGCGGGCAUGCCUGUUCGAGCGUCAUUUCAACCCUCGAGCUCCCCUUUCGGGGGGAGCCCGGCGUUGGGGACCCGGCGCUAACAACGCCGGCCCCGAAAUGGAGUGGCGGCCCGUCCGCGGCGACCUCUGCGUAGUAACAACCACUCGCACCGGGACCCGGGCGCGGCCACGCCGUAAAACACCCCACCUUCCGAAUGUUGACCUCGAAUCAGGUAGGAAUACCCGCUGAACUUAA